CCCUUAGAUGUUCUGGGCCGCACGCGCGCUACACUGACGAAUGCAACGAGCUUAUAACCUUGGCCGAAAGGUCUGGGUAAUCUCCAAAUUUCGUCGUGAUGGGGAUAGAUUAUUGCAAUUAUUAAUCUUCAACGAGGAAUGCCUAGUAAGCGCAAGUCAUCAGCUUGCGUUGAUUACGUCCCUGCCCUUUGUACACACCGCCCGUCGCUCCUACCGAUUGAAUGGUCCGGUGAAGCGUUCGGACCGUGGCCUUUGGACGGUUCGCCGUCUGUUGGCUGCGGGAAGUUCGUUAAACCUUAUCAUUGAGAGGAAGGAGAAGUCGUAACA
RNAcentral lists this ribosomal RNA (327 nucleotides) under uncultured eukaryote. RNAcentral describes it as "partial 18S ribosomal RNA". It matches the Rfam family "Eukaryotic small subunit ribosomal RNA", at positions 1470 to 1796 of the family's 1831-position model. The record is from RNAcentral.